This 19-nucleotide ribosomal RNA is filed under the name Halimeda goreaui. RNAcentral describes it as "partial 5.8S ribosomal RNA". The record is from RNAcentral. Lineage: Eukaryota; Viridiplantae; Chlorophyta; Ulvophyceae; Bryopsidales; Halimedaceae.
GCGUGGUGGACGGCUCGUU